UACGAAGGGGGCUAGCGUUGCUCGGAAUCACUGGGCGUAAAGCGCACGUAGGCGGCUUUCUAAGUCAGGGGUGAAAUCCUGGAGCUCAACUCCAGAACUGCUUUUGAUACUGAGGAUCUUGAGUUCGGGAGAGGUGAGUGGAACUGCGAGUGUAGAGGUGAAAUUCGUAGAUAUUCGCAAGAACACCAGUGGCGAAGGCGGCUCACUGGCCCGAUACUGACGCUGAGGCACGAAAGCAUGGGGAGCAAACAGG
Molecule: ribosomal RNA, 253 nt
Filed under: uncultured bacterium
Lineage: Bacteria
Description: partial 16S ribosomal RNA
Rfam family: Bacterial small subunit ribosomal RNA
Source: RNAcentral